CAGGCCUAACACAUGCAAGUCGAACGGUAACGACUUAAUUACCUUCGGGUAAUGAAGGGCGACGAGUGGCGGACGGGUGAGUAACGCAUAGGAAUCUGCCCAGUAGUGGGGGACAACUCCGGGAAACCGGAGCUAAUACCGCAUACGCCCUACGGGGGAAAGCGGGGGAUCUUCGGACCUCGCGCUAUUGGAUGAGCCUAUGUCUGAUUAGCUUGUUGGUAGGGUAACGGCCUACCAAGGCAACGAUCAGUAGCUGGUCUGAGAGGAUGAUCAGCCACACUGCGACUGAGACACGGCGCAGACUCCUACGGGAGGCAGCAGUGGGGAAUAUUGCACAAUGGGCGCAAGCCUGAUGCAGCAAUGCCGCGUGUGUGAAGAAGGCCUGCGGGUUGUAAAGCACUUUCAGUAGCGAAGAAAAGCCCGGGGUUAAUAGCCUCGAGUCUUGACGUUAGCUACACAAGAAGCACCGGCUAACUCCGUGCCAGCAGCCGCGGUAAUACGGAGGGUGCGAGCGUUAAUCGGAAUUACUGGGCGUAAAGCGCGCGUAGGCGGUUUGGUA
This 559-nucleotide ribosomal RNA is filed under the name uncultured bacterium. RNAcentral describes it as "bacterial SSU rRNA". It matches the Rfam family "Bacterial small subunit ribosomal RNA", at positions 43 to 585 of the family's 1533-position model. The record is from RNAcentral.